GCCGGCAGCUAGCUCUCUGCAACUCUCACAUGGUCGCCCACUGAAGCUAAGCAGGGCUGCGCCUGGUCAGUACCUGGAUGGGAGACCACAUGGGAAAGCUAGGCUGCUGACGGAA
Danio rerio (zebrafish) is the source of this 115-nucleotide non-coding RNA. The record is from Rfam. NCBI's taxonomy places the organism in Eukaryota, Metazoa, Chordata, Actinopteri, Cypriniformes, Danionidae.